AAAGAACAUAAGCAUAAAUUAUCUUACAAUAUUGAUCUCCAACUAACUCCAUAAUUCUAUUUACAGAUAAUGUAUCCAACCAUAGCUUGGAAAAAUUACUUGAAUAAAAUAGUAAAAUUUACAUAAAUAUUAGAAGAAAUAUUCUACCAAUAUCUCCUAUAUGCCUACUUUCAUCAUAAUAAAUAAAUAUGCAGGAGAACACUUUGUUGCUCAUGAGAGAAUCAAAUAGCACAACACUGAGACUCAUUUCAUACCGAUUAUGGAUAAAACGACUAACAGUAGCAGGCCAGUUGCUUGCUCAAAUGACAUGGUGCAGAAGGAAAUAUAUGAUUUACAUUCAUUACAAACAAUUUACAUUGUUAAAAAAACUAUUUCACUAUUUCAGUCCAAUAAAUUAUGGACAGUUAUAUCAGAUGGCAUUUACUUUUAGGGAUUGAAACUAAAAAGAUAAGUCAGAGAUGCAUCACCAAGUCAUCCAAACAGUCAAAAGUUCAUAAUGAUUGCAUAUUUAUAACGUUCUGAAAGCAAUGCCUAUAUAAAUCUAACCCCAAUAUGAG
RNAcentral lists this unclassified non-coding RNA (557 nucleotides) under Hevea brasiliensis (rubber tree). Lineage: Eukaryota; Viridiplantae; Streptophyta; Magnoliopsida; Malpighiales; Euphorbiaceae. The record is from RNAcentral.